AUGUCCGACAUCAGGUACGCGCACCAUACCGAUGCCGAGAGCGCGCGCAAGGUCAAGAUCCGCACCCCCUUCUAUGAUGUAUCCUUCCGAACAUACCUCGAAUUCUCAGAUCACUUCCGCUUCGCCAUCCAUGCCCCGCCCGGUUCUUUGUCAGCAAGCACAGACGGCAUGAUGAUCAUCAUGUACCACCGCUGGUUGCUGGAACGAGAGAGCAUAGUGGUCUGCCGGCCCGGAGACGCGGCCUGGACGAAGCUGCCAAAACGCCCGUCUUCUCGCUUCGACUAUUUCAUCGAUGUAACCUCUUUUCAGGGCAAGAUUUAUGGCUUGGAAUCUAAUGGUGCCACAAUGGUGUUUGACGCAACCACACUCGAGUUCCUCUGCUCGAUUGAUGCGCCACAGUCGACGUCCAAGCUUUACUCCAUGAUAUAUUGGCCUUACAAGCAUGAUGACCCUGUCGAUUUCGACUAUUUCCAUCUCGUUGCAUUGCCAAACAAGCUACUUUUGGUCGUUGUAAGCGUGAAAUCACUUGAGCCAACAGGUUUCGCCUUCUUUGAGUUAACGUCUGGAUCUAGGGAUGGCCGGCUCUCCUGGAGUAAGGUAACAGGAGAUGGAAUCGGUGGCAACUACGAUGUGUUCAUGGAUUGCCACCAUGCGACCUUUAGCGACAACAAUGGUGUUGGAACCGGAACUCGGGUAUAUUAUGUUCUUCACCGGACGUGGCAUCCCAAAGCAUCCACGUACUACUAUGGGAUGCAUGACGGCAAGAUGGAGUGCCUGUACAGGUCACUAGACGAUAAUUGUGAAUACUCAACUAAGCCUAGUUGGUUUGUUCCCUAG
Molecule: ribosomal RNA, 837 nt
Filed under: Triticum aestivum (bread wheat)
Lineage: Eukaryota; Viridiplantae; Streptophyta; Magnoliopsida; Poales; Poaceae
Description: partial small subunit ribosomal RNA
Source: RNAcentral